RNAcentral lists this ribosomal RNA (254 nucleotides) under uncultured bacterium. RNAcentral's name for it is "partial 16S ribosomal RNA". It matches the Rfam family "Bacterial small subunit ribosomal RNA", at positions 524 to 776 of the family's 1533-position model. The record is from RNAcentral.
UACAGAGGGUGCAAGCGUUGUUCGGAAUCAUUGGGCGUAAAGCGCACGUAGGCGGCCUGCUAAGUCGGAUGUGAAAGCCCAGGGCUCAACCCUGGAAGUGCAUUCGAAACUGGCGGGCUUGAAUGUCGGAGAGGGCAGUGGAAUUCCGAGUGUAGAGGUGAAAUUCGUAGAUAUUCGGAGGAACACCAGUGGCGAAGGCGACUGCCUGGACGAACAUUGACGCUGAGGUGGCGAAAGCGUGGGGAGCAAACAGG